UGAGGAAUAUUGGUCAAUGGGCGAGAGCCUGAACCAGCCAAGUAGCGUGCAGGAUGACGGCCCUAUGGGUUGUAAACUGCUUUUAUAUGGGAAUAAAGUGAGGGACGUGUCCCUUAUUGCAUGUACCAUACGAAUAAGGACCGGCUAAUUCCGUGCCAGCAGCCGCGGUAAUACGGAAGGUCCAGGCGUUAUCCGGAUUUAUUGGGUUUAAAGGGAGCGUAGGUUGUUUGUUAAGCGUGUUGUGAAAUGUAAGAGCUCAACUUUUAGAUUGCAGCGCGAACUGGCAGACUUGAGUGCGCACAACGUAGGCGGAAUUCAUGGUGUAGCGGUGAAAUGCUUAGAUAUCAUGACGAACUCCGAUUGCGAAGGCAGCUUACGGGAGCGCAACUGACGCUAAAGCUCGAAGGUGCGGGUAUCGAACAGG
RNAcentral lists this ribosomal RNA (424 nucleotides) under Verrucomicrobiota bacterium. Its description in RNAcentral is "Verrucomicrobia bacterium partial 16S ribosomal RNA". It matches the Rfam family "Bacterial small subunit ribosomal RNA", at positions 355 to 776 of the family's 1533-position model. The record is from RNAcentral. Lineage: Bacteria; Pseudomonadati; Verrucomicrobiota.